ACGGGAGGCAGCAGUGGGGAAUAUUGCACAAUGGGGGAAACCCUGAUGCAGCGACGCCGCGUGAGUGAAGAAGUAUUUCGGUAUGUAAAGCUCUAUCAGCAGGGAAGAAAACAAUGACGGUACCUGACUAAGAAGCCCCGGCUAACUACGUGCCAGCAGCCGCGGUAAUACGUAGGGGGCAAGCGUUAUCCGGAUUUACUGGGUGUAAAGGGAGCGUAGACGGCGUGGCAAGUCUGAAGUGAAAGCCCGGGGCUCAACUCCGGGACUGCUUUGGAAACUGUCAUGCUAGAGUGCAGGAGAGGUAAGUGGAAUUCCUAGUGUAGCGGUGAAAUGCGUAGAUAUUAGGAGGAACACCAGUGGCGAAGGCGGCUUACUGGACUGUAACUGACGUUGAGGCUCGAAAGCGUGGGGAGCAAGCAGGAUUAGAUACCCUGGUA
Molecule: ribosomal RNA, 437 nt
Filed under: uncultured Clostridium sp.
Lineage: Bacteria; Bacillati; Bacillota; Clostridia; Eubacteriales; Clostridiaceae
Description: partial 16S ribosomal RNA
Rfam family: Bacterial small subunit ribosomal RNA
Source: RNAcentral